GACCAUUUCAUUAAGUUUUUAAGUGCCUGGUAAUUGCUUGGUUAUGACCGGUGUCUGCUCCAUGGCAGCCUCUUCCUGGGACCAGAUCUGAACAGUCUGGAGAGAGGAGCUGUGGUGGCAGCAGACAGAUCUCUGCUUCAGGGGCCAGGUGUCUAGAAGAAAUGCUGAGGCAGUGUCACGCUGGUGUCUGUCCUCCUUACAGAAUGCCUGAACAGUUCCAUUGACUCAAAGUGAAGAUCAAAAGAACCAAAUGACAGCAAUAGCCAAGUGUAAUCAUCAGUAACCCUGUGUUCUAUCCACAGGUGGGUCCACUAGAUGCUGUGGCUCAUGACAGAUCUUCAGAUGUUUGGUGAGGACCCACACAGGCACCUGAUCAUCACCUGGAGAGACACAAACAAAUCCUCUUCCUCAUAUUAAAGAAUGGAAUUCUUGUGCAUCAGCAAAGACCACAGACACCAAUGCAUCUGCCCUUUAAGUUUAAAGGACCAAAGAGUCCUAUUGGAGAAAAAAGAAAAAGCAUUUUUAUCCUUACCUUCCCCCGCUCUAUUCCUUUUAUAUUUGCCCUUUGAGCCAUAGCUAAUUUCCAUAAUUCAGAAU
RNAcentral lists this long non-coding RNA (597 nucleotides) under Homo sapiens (human). RNAcentral describes it as "GARS1 divergent transcript". Lineage: Eukaryota; Metazoa; Chordata; Mammalia; Primates; Hominidae. The record is from RNAcentral.